RNAcentral lists this ribosomal RNA (1563 nucleotides) under Triticum aestivum (bread wheat). RNAcentral describes it as "partial small subunit ribosomal RNA". The record is from RNAcentral. Lineage: Eukaryota; Viridiplantae; Streptophyta; Magnoliopsida; Poales; Poaceae.
AUGGAUGGUACUACGUUGCGCGCCGCCAUCUUGGUCACCGUCCUCCUCCUGGCGCCACUGUUGGCACUGAUGCAUCGACGAAGCGGCAGCCCUCGCCGUAAACUGCCGCCGGGACCCGUCCCUCUCCCCGUGGUCGGCCACCUGCACCUCUUCAAGAAGCCGCUGCACCGCACCCUCGCGCGCCUCGCCGCUCGCCACGGCGUCGUGCUCGGCCUCCGUUUCGGCUCCCGCAGCGUGCUCGUCGUGUCCUCGGCCCAGGCCGCCGAGGAGUGCCUCGGCGCGCAGGACGUCGCGUUCGCCAACAGGCCGCAGCUGCCGUCCGGUGGGAUCCUCUCCUAUGACUGGUCCACCAUGGGCACCACCAACUACGGGCCAUACUGGCGCCACGUCCGCCGCAUCGCCGUGACCGAGAUCAUGGCCGCGCACCGGGUGGACCACUUCGCAGACGUGCACGUGCGCGAGGCGCGCGCCAUGGCGCGGGGCCUCUUCCACGCGGCUCGUGGCGCCAUGGGGCAGCGGGCCCGCGUCGAGCUCAAGUCGCGCCUGUUCGAGCUGCUCUUGAACACCAUGAUGGGCAUGAUCUGCGAGAAAAGCCACCACGGCGCCGGUAGCGUGACCAUCGACGCGGGGGUGAGAGAGGAGGCGCGGUGGUUCAGGGAGAUGGUGGAGGCGGCGAUGACACUGAGCGGUGCGUCGACGGUGUGGGACUUCCUGCCGGCGGCGCUGCGGUGCCGGUGGCUGGACGUGGGCGGGGUGGGGCGGCGGCUGUGGCGGCUGCGGGAGAGCCGGACCAAGUUCCUGCAGGGGCUGAUCGACGAGCAGCGGAAGGAGAUGGAGAAGGGGGAGGAGGGACGGAGGAGGAAGAUGAUCGGGGCGCUGCUCUCCAUGCAGCACAAGGACCCCGAGGCGUGCCCGGACCAGCUCAUCCGCUCCUUGUGCAUAAGCUCCUUCGAAGCCGGGACGGUCACGUCGGCGGACACCAUCGAGUGGGCGAUGUCGCUCCUGCUAAACAAUCCCGAGGUGAUGCUGAGAGCGCGCGAGCAGAUGGACGCGUGCAUUGGAGAACCACUGCGGCUGCUCGAGGCGACCGAUCUCCCGAACCUGCCGUACCUCCGAUGCAUCAUCAUGGAGACCCUCCGGCUGUACCCGCCGGCGCCGCUUCUCGUCCCCCACGAGUCAUCCGCCGACUGCACCGUCGGGGGGUUCUACAUUCCCCACGGGACGAUGCUCCUCGUCAACGCGUUUGCCAUCCACAGGGAUCCUCAGCUCUGGCAUGAACCAGCAAGCUUCGUUUCCGAGAGGUUUGAGGAUGGGAGAAAUGGAGAUAAGAUGGUGAUCCCAUUUGGCAUGGGUAGACGACGAUGCCCGGCCGAGCAAUUGGGCAUGCAAAUGGUUGGCCUUGCUCUUGGGACGAUGAUUCAGUGCUUCGACUGGGAGAGGGUGGAACAAGACCUUGUUGACAUGACUGAGGGGUCUGGUCAAACCAUGCCAAAGCACUUACCUUUGGAGGCUUUCUAUCAGCCUCGAGCUUCAAUGGCUCUUCAUCUUCCCAGGAUAGAGUAA